GUCCACGCCGUAAACUAUGAGUGCUAGACGUUGGGGGCUUGCCUCUCAGUGUCGAAGCUAACGCGAUAAGCACUCCGCCUGGGGAGUACGGCCGCAAGGUUAAAACUCAAAGGAAUUGACGGGGCCCGCACAAGCGGUGGAGCAUGUGGUUUAAUUCGAAGCAACGCGCAGAACCUUACCAGCCCUUGACAUGGGAAGUAUGGGUUCCUGAAAGGGAAUCCUUCAGUUCGGCUGGCUUCCACACAGGUGCUGCAUGGCUGUCGU
This 264-nucleotide ribosomal RNA is filed under the name uncultured bacterium. RNAcentral describes it as "partial 16S ribosomal RNA". It matches the Rfam family "Bacterial small subunit ribosomal RNA", at positions 793 to 1055 of the family's 1533-position model. The record is from RNAcentral.